UGAGCCAAGUUUAGGGUUUUCUCAAAACCCAAGCAGUAUUGAACUGAAGAGUUUGAUCAUGGCUCAGAUUGAACGCUGGCGGCAGGCCUAACACAUGCAAGUCGAGCGGAUGAAGGGGGCUUGCUCCUGGAUUC
RNAcentral lists this ribosomal RNA (134 nucleotides) under Pseudomonas aeruginosa. Its description in RNAcentral is "partial 16S ribosomal RNA". The stretch from base 41 to 134 matches the Rfam family "Bacterial small subunit ribosomal RNA", at positions 1 to 93 of the family's 1533-position model. Lineage: Bacteria; Pseudomonadati; Pseudomonadota; Gammaproteobacteria; Pseudomonadales; Pseudomonadaceae. The record is from RNAcentral.